AUUCUAAGAGUUUGUGUGCACCGCGGCAAUUAUGUGAUAAUCAUGUCAGGUAGAAGAGAAAAUCAGUUUAUUUUCACAAUCGUCUUGUCCCCACUUUCCAAGACGGUGUCCUAUCCAGUCUCUAAGCUCAGCCUUUAUUCUGAAGUUUUGUACCCAGUGCUCGUUGAAUAACUCACUUUAUGUGGCUUUUUCCUGAGCCGAGUUUUCCCAGUGAGUUGCAGCCGAGGGAUCUGGAGCCGCCCCACACUCAGGGCCGAAGGUGCUCCUGUCACUCUGUGAAGACACAGGGACGGUCGGGGUGCCGUCCUCCAGGGGCGAGGGGCCGAGGGACCAUCUCCGGUGCCCGGCAGGCGGAGACGGGCCGCAGUGACAGCCGCGGUCCCCCCCAGCCCUGACCUCAGCCUCUGCUGCUUUCCGGUCGAACCCAGCCUCUCCAGCUCGCCUGCCUGGUCUUUCUCUCCUGCUCAGACGCAGCGUGAGCCCUAGGGCGACACUUCGUGCCGAAGAGAAGCUCUGGAUGCUUCCGGCCGUCGGGACCGGGGUCGCCUCCAGGAAGAAGGGAUCCCCGGCUCUUGGUGGACUGCACCCCACCACGCCCAGAGACGGCAGAGCAGUGACACGCAAAGCCCCAGCACUGCGGAGAUCGCAAACACAGAGUCGUCCAAAGAAAAAGCCCUCUUCACCGCCUUCCUUCAGACUGUGGAGGCCAGGACAGCUGACAGCUGAGAAUGGGGGUGGCUGUGUCCCUCGUGGCUUCACAGGGGUGCAGUCAGCAAGAUGAGGCAGAGCGGUGCCCACACACGAAGCAGCAGCGGGCCAGUGCCCUUCACCUGAUCAGAGCUCAGGAGAGAUCCUGGAAGGCCCUGGGGCUUUGCUCCCCACCUCCUGCCUCCCAGAGGCACAGGGGCAUGAUUCCAAGCCAGUGGAAGGGAUGGAAUCCUGGGACAUGCCCUUGCCCUCUGCUGGGCCCGUUUCCUCCUUGGUAAAGUGAGGCUGCUAUGCCCACCUUAUAAUUUCUUAUAAUUUUGUCCUGAGCAUAACGCAUGGGACCUGCCUAUGAUCUGCCUCCUCGCCGUCUCCUUGCUUGGCCACACUGAGCUCCUCACUGUUCCCUGAACUCACCAAGCCCCUUCCUACCUCAGGGCCUUUGUAUGUGCAGCACCAUCUACCUGGAAUGUCCUGCCUUCCUAUCUCCCCAGGGCUGGUACCUUCUCAUCUUUUUGGGCUUAAACAUCACCCCCUCAGCGUAGAGAGCACCCCACCAUCCCUCACUCUGCUUUCUUCUUCCUAACAAAGGGAUGCAGGCUUCUCACUCUUUUUCUUCUUUGUGUUGUUCUUGACACCACAGGCAGACUUUAUCUGUCUGAUUGACAGUGCGCUCCCAGAGCUCAGCAGUGUCCAGUAAACAGUAGGUGCUUAAGAAACAACGGCUUCCCUCGCUUCAUUCUUUGCCAGCUCCAAGUCAGCUGGGAGUUGUUUUCCACCUCUCUGGUCCCCCAUUCCCCCUGGAGGACACAGCAGGCACUGGACAUGGGUUACUUGAAAGACUCAGGUAGUUUGAAAUCCGAAGACGUGAGGCUCAUGGUGUCCCUGGGCAGCGGGUAGGUGGGGACUCCAGAAGCCUUUGGUGCAGACGCCCUGUCCCUACCACCUGCCCUCCUUCGCCUCAGGUUUGUGGGCUCGCUCUGGGCAGAUCUCCAGAGCCAUCCCCACCCCCGCACACCUGUCAGCACCCUUGGGGGAAAGAAUCUGGAAAGGGGAGGAAGAAGAAGAAAAGAAAGCAGGGUGCAAAGGGACGGCCCCAACACCUGUGUAAAUAAUUUGUCAUCUUAAGACGCAUCAAGUACACUCACCUUUAGUGCCCGGUCCUUGGGCUUGUUUUCCUUGGCAAGGCCUCCACAGGAGUGGAAUUUCGGCCAAAGGGACCCAAUUGUCGUCUUCUAAGCAUGUUCCCGGGCCAGGGGCCGGGAAAGGCUCUGGCUGACUCUCCACUUCCGUCCGCAGAAGUACCGGAAGGUUCCUGGGAUUUAGGAGCAGCCUCCAGCUCUGGAAGCUGUCCCAGAAUUCUGGAAUGCUGGAAUUUAAACAGCCACCAUCCCAUUUUGCAGAGGAGGAGUAUGAGGCCCAGAGGGGAAGGGAUUGGCCUGUAGUCACAUGACGUGUGAGGCGAACUAGUUCGCUGGUGGAAGGGGACACUGUGGACCCCUUCAUUUCCUGCAGCCCUUGAGGUUUGGGGGAUGCCCAGGCCUCCUGUCUCCAGGGGCGCACAUGUUUUGCUGUAGUGAUUGGGUCAGGAGUGGUCAUGUGACUAAGUUUGCGCAAUGAGAUUCUACCGUGGGGCUUUGGUGCUGGGAUGUUUGAGGAGAUGCCGUUUCCCUUCAGGUUGACGGUGAGCAAGGGAAAACUGCUCAAGAAACCAGCUCAGAGCUGGACAGGGUCUGCAUGCCUGGAUCCAGCCAUACCUGAGAUCACACACUCUUGGCCUAUCUAGUUUCAUAAGCCACUACAUUUCCUGUUUUUGGCAGGAAAGAGUUUGGCCUGGGUUUUUAUCGCUUGCACACAGAAGUUUCUGACUGACCCAUGGCACAGGGGAAGGGGAGAGAUUGCAGGUAGAGGAAAUAGCCUGACAGGGAACACAAAGCAACCAUUUCCAGGGAGGUGUCCCGAAGCAGGGAGAAGAGGAAGAGCUUAGGAAUCUGGCAGGUGGCCGGGGUGGGAGAAAGCACAUGGAACCACAACGUGAAGGUUUGGAAGGGUGAUCGCACGCUGGAAGGCUGUGUCCCAGACUUGUGCAGGGUGACAGAGGACACUGGUGAAAACGGCACCGAGCCCACCGCUGCCCGACAACCACAGCUCAGUGAUGCGCCUCUGUCUAGAGCCGAGCCUGUCCUACCCCCGGCCCUGGCUGAGGCCUCACAGUGCCAUCCUGGACCCCUACAUAUGCUCCUUAUUCGGUCCUGGGCACCAUGAGUGCCACACAGAAUCACUUCAGGGUCCCCCGACACAGUGUAAGAUCGAUCCGGGUCCUGUAGCAGGAAUAAUUCCUGCGGCAAAUCUAUAGCCAUCGUAGUACUUGCUAAACUCUGCUGUGAAAAGAGCAGCCCCAGGCUUGGUCCCCUCGGUGUGCCUGGCUGAUUUCUAGCACCCUGUGCAGAUCUGCAGGAGCUCAGAGCCGGGCAAUCCACAGGCAAACCACAGAGCCACUUUCCCCAGACCCCUGCUCUCAGAGCCCCACCUUCAGAAUCCCCGUAUGGGUUUCAGGUGUUCAGUCUUUCUCUCUGGUCUGUUUUCUGUUACUAUAAAUUUGCUUUUCCAGAGCAGCAGCUGUGGGAAUCUCAGCGUGUUGAGCCUGGUUCCUCCUCCACAGGAUGGUUUUGAGGUGGGUACACACCACUGUGUGUGUCACUAGAUGGCUCUUUUUCAUCGCCACGUAGUACUCCAUUGUAUGGAUGGGCCACAGUGUGUGUAUCCAGACCCUCGCUGAGGGAUAUUUAGGCUGUUUCCAGUUGUUUUUUGCAAUUAUGAAUGAAG
Long non-coding RNA from Fukomys damarensis (Damara mole-rat), 3531 nucleotides. NCBI's taxonomy places the organism in Eukaryota, Metazoa, Chordata, Mammalia, Rodentia, Bathyergidae. The record is from Ensembl.